AGAGCCGGAUACGCGGCCGCCGGUGAAUCCCGUUACAGGCGGGUUCUUGCCGGAGGAAAGUCCGGGCAGCAAAGGGCAGGGUGCUGGCUAACGGCCAGACGGUGUGAACCGAUGGAAAGUGCAACAGAAAACAUACCGCCGAUGGACCUCCUGUUGGGAGGUCACAGGCAAGGGUGAAAUGGCAGGGUAAGAGCCUACCGCGGUCCUGGUGACAGGUCCGGCAGUGCAAACCCCACCUGCUGCAAGUCCAAAUAGGAUCGCUUUCGGGUGGCCCGCCCGGCGGUCGGGUAGGAUGCUAGAGGCUGAUGGUAACAUCAGUCCCAGAUAAAUGGUCGCGGCCCCUCUUUUCAGCCAAGAUAAUGGUUGGAUGGUUCGUGAAUUCGAACCCUGGUGAUGCUGGAGGGGAACAGAACCCGGCUUAUUUCCGGCUCUGACC
Molecule: RNase P RNA, 436 nt
Filed under: bacterium
Lineage: Bacteria
Also listed under: 1 other name
Description: RNase P RNA component class A
Rfam family: Bacterial RNase P class A
About the family: Ribonuclease P (RNase P) is a ubiquitous endoribonuclease, found in archaea, bacteria and eukarya as well as chloroplasts and mitochondria. Its best characterised activity is the generation of mature 5'-ends of tRNAs by cleaving the 5'-leader elements of precursor-tRNAs.
Source: RNAcentral